CUGCCCAAUGAGGAAUUAAAUGGCCGCGGUACUUUGACCGUGCAAAGGUAGCAUAAUCAUUAGUUUUUUAAUUGAAAGCUGGUAUGAAAGGUUGGAUGAGAAAAUAACUGUCUCUAUUUAAAUUUUUUAGAAUUUUAUCUUUAAGUAAAAAAGCUUAAAUUAAAAUAGAAGACGAGAAGACCCUAUAGAGUUUUAUAGAUUUUAAUUUGAGAAUAUUUUAGUAUUGAUAAAUUUUUAAGUUAAUAUGUAUUUAGUUGGGGUGAUUGAAAAAUUAAAAAAACUUUUUUUAUUAAUGGUAACAUUUAUUUAUGAAAAAAUGAUCCUUUUUUAAAGAUUAAAAGAAAAAAUUACCUUAGGGAUAACAGCGUAAUUUUUUUAAAGAGUUCAAAUCGAAAAAAAAGAUUGCGACCUCGAUGUUGGAUUAAAAUAAAAUUUUGGUGUAGGAGCUAAAGUAUUUGGGUCUGUUCGACCCUUAAAAUUUUACAUGAUCUGAGUUUAAACCGGCGU
RNAcentral lists this ribosomal RNA (507 nucleotides) under Eupholus sp. 1 MVD-2017. RNAcentral's name for it is "partial 16S ribosomal RNA". It matches the Rfam family "Bacterial large subunit ribosomal RNA", at positions 1859 to 2622 of the family's 2925-position model. Lineage: Eukaryota; Metazoa; Arthropoda; Insecta; Coleoptera; Curculionidae. The record is from RNAcentral.